Mesocricetus auratus (golden hamster) is the source of this 104-nucleotide ribosomal RNA. NCBI's taxonomy places the organism in Eukaryota, Metazoa, Chordata, Mammalia, Rodentia, Cricetidae. The record is from Ensembl.
AUUUAUUAACAUACCACCCUGAUCUCGUCUGAUGUCAGAAGCUAAGCAGGGUUGGGCCUGGUUAGUACUUGGAUGGGAGAUUACUUCUGUAUAGCAAGUCAGUG